Molecule: ribosomal RNA, 433 nt
Filed under: uncultured bacterium
Lineage: Bacteria
Description: partial 16S ribosomal RNA
Rfam family: Bacterial small subunit ribosomal RNA
Source: RNAcentral
AACGAACGCUGGCGGCAUGCCUAACACAUGCAAGUCGAACGAAGGCUUCGGCCUUAGUGGCGCACGGGUGCGUAACGCGUGGGAAUCUGCCCUUUGGUUCGGAAUAACAGCUGGAAACGGCUGCUAAUGCCGGAUGAUGACGAAAGUCCAAAGAUUUAUCGCCAGAGGAUGAGCCCGCGUUGGAUUAGGUAGUUGGUGGGGUAAAGGCCUACCAAGCCGACGAUCCAUAGCUGGUCUGAGAGGAUGAUCAGCCACACUGGGACUGAGACACGGCCCAGACUCCUACGGGAGGCAGCAGUGGGGAAUAUUGGACAAUGGGCGCAAGCCUGAUCCAGCAAUGCCGCGUGAGUGAUGAAGGCCCUAGGGUUGUAAAGCUCUUUUACCCGGGAAGAUAAUGACUGUACCGGGAGAAUAAGCCCCGGCUAACUCCGUG